UACAGAGGGUGCAAGCGUUGUUCGGAAUUAUUGGGCGUAAAGCGCGUGUAGGCGGCAUUGCAAGUCGGGUGUGAAAGCCCUCAGCUCAACUGAGGAAGUGCAUUCGAAGCUGCGUAGCUAGAGUUUUGGAGAGGAAGGCGGAAUACUCGGUGUAGAGGUGAAAUUCGUAGAUAUCGAGUGGAACACCGGUGGCGAAGGCGGCCUUCUGGACAAUGACUGACGCUGAAACGCGAAAGCGUGGGGAGCAAACAGG
Molecule: ribosomal RNA, 253 nt
Filed under: uncultured bacterium
Lineage: Bacteria
Description: partial 16S ribosomal RNA
Rfam family: Bacterial small subunit ribosomal RNA
Source: RNAcentral